Molecule: ribosomal RNA, 253 nt
Filed under: uncultured bacterium
Lineage: Bacteria
Description: partial 16S ribosomal RNA
Rfam family: Bacterial small subunit ribosomal RNA
Source: RNAcentral
UACGUAGGUGACCAGCGUUGUCCGGAUUUACUGGGCGUAAAGAGCGCGCAGGCGGUCGUUCAAGUCGAGUGUGAAAGCCCCCGGCUCAACUGGGGAGGGUCACUCGAUACUGAUCGACUGGAAGGCAGGAGAGGGAAGCGGAAUUCCCGGUGUAGUGGUGAAAUGCGUAGAUAUCAGGAGGAACACCGGCGGCGAAGGCGGCCCUCUGGAUCGUUGCUGACGCUGAGACGCGAAAGCGUGGGGAGCAAACAGG